GGGUCAGUAGGUUGGUCGUGCCACCGGUACGUACUGGUCUCACUGGUUCCUCCUUCCUGAAGAACCGUAAUGCCAUUAAUUUGGUGUUGCGGGGAAACAGGACUGUUACUUUGAAAAAAUUAGAGUGUUUAAAGCAAGCUAACGCUUGAAUACGUUAGCGUGGAAUAAUGAAAUAGGACGAUCGAUCCUAUUUUGUUGGUCUCUAGGAUUGACGUA
Molecule: ribosomal RNA, 216 nt
Filed under: Glomeromycotina sp.
Lineage: Eukaryota; Fungi; Glomeromycota
Description: partial small subunit ribosomal RNA
Rfam family: Eukaryotic small subunit ribosomal RNA (bases 47-216)
Source: RNAcentral